AGCGAACGCUGGCGGCAGGCCUAACACAUGCAAGUCGAACGGAUCCUUCGGGAUUAGUGGCGGACGGGUGCGUAACACGUGGGAACGUGCCCUUUGGUUCGGAACAACUCAGGGAAACUUGAGCUAAUACCGGAUGUGCCCUUCGGGGGAAAGAUUUAUCGCCAUUGGAGCGGCCCGCGUCUGAUUAGCUAGUUGGUGAGGUAACGGCCCACCAAGGCGACGAUCAGUAGCUGGUCUGAGAGGAUGAUCAGCCACACUGGGACUGAGACACGGCCCAGACUCCUACGGGAGGCAGCAGUGGGGAAUCUUGCGCAAUGGGCGAAAGCCUGACGCAGCCAUGCCGCGUGAAUGAUGAAGGUCUUAGGAUUGUAAAAUUCUUUCAGCGGGGACGAUAAUGACGGUACCCGCAGAAGAAGCUCCGGCUAACUUCGUG
RNAcentral lists this ribosomal RNA (433 nucleotides) under uncultured bacterium. RNAcentral describes it as "partial 16S ribosomal RNA". It matches the Rfam family "Bacterial small subunit ribosomal RNA", at positions 29 to 507 of the family's 1533-position model. The record is from RNAcentral.